GAUGGAGAACGCAGCGAAAUGCGAUAAGUAAUGUGAAAUGCAGAAUUCAGUGAAUCAUCGAAUCUUUGAACGCACAUUGCGCCCGCCAGCACUCUGGCGGGCAUGCCUGUUCGAGCGUCAUUUCAACCAUCAAGCCCCCAGGGGCUUGUGCUGGGGCCCUGCGGCUGCCCGCAGGCCCUGAAAACCAGUGGCGGGCUCGCUAGUCACACCGAGCGCUGUAGCACAUCUCGCUCAGGGCGUGCGGCGGGCUCCUGCCGUGAAACCCCCCACUGUAACCCCAAAGGUUGACCUCGGAUCAGGUAGGAAUACCCGCUGAACUUAAGCAUAUCAAUAAGCGGAGGA
RNAcentral lists this unclassified non-coding RNA (342 nucleotides) under soil metagenome. RNAcentral's name for it is "partial contains 5.8S ribosomal RNA, internal transcribed spacer 2, and large subunit ribosomal RNA". The stretch from base 1 to 120 matches the Rfam family "5.8S ribosomal RNA", at positions 35 to 154 of the family's 154-position model. The record is from RNAcentral.